ACAGAGGUCUCAAGCGUUGUUCGGAUUCAUUGGACGUAAAGGGUGCGUAGGUGGUCGGGUAAGUCGGAUGUGAAAUCCCGGGGCUCAACCCUGGAACUGCAUUCGAUACUGCCUGGCUAGAGUACUGGAGAGGAGAUUGGAAUUUACGGUGUAGCAGUGAAAUGCGUAGAUAUCGUAAGGAAGACCAGUGGCGAAGGCGGAUCUCUGGACAGUUACUGACACUGAGGCACGAAGGCCAGGGGAGCAAACGGGA
Molecule: ribosomal RNA, 253 nt
Filed under: uncultured prokaryote
Description: partial 16S ribosomal RNA
Rfam family: Bacterial small subunit ribosomal RNA
Source: RNAcentral